GCCCUCGUAGCUCAGCUGGAUAGAGCAGCACACUUCUAAUGUGCAGGUCUUAGGUUCGAAUCCUAACGGGGGUA
This 74-nucleotide transfer RNA is filed under the name bacterium. Its description in RNAcentral is "tRNA-Arg". It matches the Rfam family "tRNA". Rfam says of the family: Transfer RNA (tRNA) molecules are approximately 80 nucleotides in length. Their secondary structure includes four short double-helical elements and three loops (D, anti-codon, and T loops). Further hydrogen bonds mediate the characteristic L-shaped molecular structure. tRNAs have two regions of fundamental functional importance: the anti-codon, which is responsible for specific mRNA codon recognition, and the 3' end, to which the tRNAs corresponding amino acid is attached (by aminoacyl-tRNA synthetases). tRNAs cope with the degeneracy of the genetic code in two manners: having more than one tRNA (with a specific anti-codon) for a particular amino acid; and 'wobble' base-pairing, i.e. permitting non-standard base-pairing at the 3rd anti-codon position. The record is from RNAcentral.